CAGGGGGCAGAGGCCAUAUGGGUUGGAGAGGACCUGGGACCAGUGGUUGGUGAUUGGAUGUGGCAGCCGAGGGGAGGGGACAGUCCGAGCUGAGGCCUGGGAGGAAGAGGACGUUUGGGAAGGCUCGGGGAUUGAAAACAGAGAGGUGAAACUUGAGAGGAGAGGUCUCCAGCCUCAGGAGAGGGAGCCCCUGCUCCUGGAUGUCCCAGGAUGUGGCCGGCACCUCCCAAACCCACCACGUGCCCACCACUGGAGUCCCCAGACCAGACUGGGCCUGCGCCUCCCUCUGCCUACGCUGAUGCCCUCGUCCAGUCCUGCUCCCUCAGCACCCCCUCCUCACCUGUCUGCACCCGCUCAUGACCCAGCUCACGGCCCCUCGGCCUCAUCAGCUCCUUUUCCUGGGAAGGACUCCCCAGUUCCCGAAGCAGAGUCUGAUAUGCAGAGCCCCAGUGAAAGAUGACAGGACAGUACCGGAGGGGAGAAGUGGGGGCCCCAAUACUUCUCUUCCCUCCCUCCAGGGCCCCCUGCUCCUGCCACCCUGGCUGGGCUCCCUGAGCUGGGAAAUACACACUGGAGUCUAGCAGGGUGCUCCCCUCCAGCCCAGGCCCCACUGUGCCCCCUCCUCUGGGGGUACCUCAGGCUUGGAAACAUAUGCAGGUUCCAGAAGCGGCGGCCCUUGCACCUGUCCGGGACCUGCCAUCCGGACCCACCACCUCUCGGGACAAGGAGGCUCUCAGGCCUCACAGAGGCCUUGCCCAGCCUGGGAGCAUCAUAGGGCUGGCCAGGGCCAGGAGGGACCAUGAGCCCACCCCAUCCUGGGCCCCAGGAGCCAGCGUGGCAGGCUUUGUCCUGUGGCAUUUCUAGCCACCCACCUUGUCCCCGGGGCCUUGUCCCCAGCAAGGUGUGCCAAAGGCCCCUCACCAGCCACCCCUCCAGGCCCACACUCUGUUGAGGCCCUGGCAGGGCAGGGUUACCAGUCUGGGCUCAGAGGCCUGGAGCCUGCACAACCUCUGAGCAAGCUGGACCUGCCCACAGCAGCAGAGGCUCUGCCUCUCCAGCUGGGGCGACCCUGCACUUGCCCUGGUAUCCCAGCGUGAACGAGGGGGUCAGGUGUGAACAGGGGGGUCAGGAGGAAGCGGCACCUCCGUCUGCAGUCUCCUCAGAUCUUGCCUGUGCAAGCUCAGAGUGGGGCCUUCAAGGGGGGUCCCAAGAACCGGGAUUUGGGCUCUGGGCUGUGCACAGUCUCCGGGACCUGACUCUGGGUCUGUCCCUGCACCCCUGCACCUGUGGCCCUCCCAGGUCAGCUGCUGGUGCCACAGCCCCAUAGUUGUGAACACCUGGAGCUGCCCAUUCAGCCUCUUGUGCCGACUUUUCCCGAAGGUGACCUCUGGACGACCUCCCGGUGCACAGAGGGAGGAGGAAGAGCAGGUUUAUGAGCGGGGUGGGGGGGCGCAUUCCUCCGGGCAGCCUGGUGGCCUGGGCCUAUCUCACCAUCGCCACAGGACUGAGGGGCCCCCUGAGCCUCGGCCCACCUCUGGCCUGGCUGACCUGUGGGCACCAGGAAGCCCAGGACCAGGGGACCACAUUAGGGUCUCAGCCCCGGUUACCCUGGAGCUGGGCUGGGCCCAGUGGCUGCCAUGUGUCUCUAGUGCAGCCUCUGCUCACUCCUCCAGGGACAGAGAGCUCCCUCCGCACUCCCCCGGCCGACUGAUAACUCCAUUUCAGAUGGCACAAGAAUUCUCUCAUACAGGUGGUUUGUGGAAAAAAACAGCAGCUCUGGGGCAGUCGUGAAGACCAAGUUGCCCAGCACGGUGCUGGGCGCUCAGCCAGAGCCAUCUCUGAACCCUCUGGGGGGUCCCAGUUCAGCCUCCAGACCUACAGAUCUGCCUGUCCCUAUGGCCCUGGGGCAACUGCAGAGCCUGGGCCAGUGCUCUGAGGCUGGCAUCUCAGCCCCAACCCUGGCUCCCUAGAACUCUAGCAGUGCCAACAGGGCAGGACUGUCACCUCCAGAAAGCUGGGCGCAGGCCUUGGGUAGCCUGGCAUGGGGCGGCUCCUGCAUACGUUCAGGAGUGAAUGGAGCCUCGGAUUCUCUGAAGAGCCCCACUGCUCUGUCAGGGGGAUCAUGGCUCCCCGGGGUCAGAGGGAUGGAGGGCAGUGUUUCUGUCCAGAAAGGCUCGAGGGCAGCUAGAAAUGCCACAGGUCCUGGCCUUCUGGGGUAUGGUUUCCCACAUGGGCCCUUGUACUGGGGGUUGAGGUCCCGAGAGGAAGGCAGGGAAGUGUGCAGGGCCACGCCUCAACACAGGGGCCAGACCCUGAGAAACUCGUUCUCACUCCUCGGGCCUUGAGGCCCCCCGGCUGCUCUCCGUGGCUGGCCCUGGCCCAUUAGUUUAUUGAUCCCCUUGACCAAUCAUUGGACCAAAGUUUCCUCAACCCUUGCUUGGGCCAGAUCCAGGCCAGGGACCAGAGGGAGCUUGAAACAUCCCGUCCCCUGACAAGGAGGUGCCCGGGAGGGUGGGAGAGUUGCCACUCAGACCAGAAGCCCAGAUGUCCCUGCCUACCCCAGGGACAGCCAGCCCAGGCUGGUCCCAGACAGUCACCAGAGCCUUCCUUCAGGUCCCCCUUGUGUGCCCACCUGACCUGCUGGGAGCACUGGGUAAUGAAGAGGUCAUGCUGCCCCCACCUGCAGGCUACUAGCCCUCCCAGAGGUCAUGUGACCAAGAGGACCUUUCCCAGGCCCACACCAACCAUGGCAGCUUUGCUUUUAGCAGCACAAACAGAUCUGGGAUCCAGUGAGACCUGCAGGAAGGGUCUCACCCUGUCUGUGCCUCAGCGAAAUGAAAUUAAUAUUAGGACCACCUUCUCUGGGUAGCAGUCAGAGGGAAACGGGCACACAGCAGGUGCUCAUUAAAUGCUUCAUGGCAGUCACUUGGGAAAACAGCUUGGGUGUUUCUUUAAAAGUUUAACAUAAAGUUACUGCCAAAAAAUGGAAGCAACCCUGUUUAUCAACUGAUGAAUGGAUACACAAAAUAUCUAUCUACCCAUGCAAUGGAAUACUAUUUGGCAAUAAUCUAAUAAAAAUUAAAAAGGAAUGAAGGCCAGGUGCAGUGGCUCAUGUCUGAAAUCCUAGCACUAUGGGAGGCUGAGGUGAAAGGAUCGCCUGAGGCCAGGAGCCAGAGGCCCCAGUGAGCUAUGAUUGCACCACUGCACUCCAGCCUGGGUGACAGAGCAAGACCCUGUCUCAAUAAAUAAAUAAAUAAAUAAAUAAGAGGAAUGAAGUACUGCUAUGCACUGCAGCAUGGAUGGACCAUGAAGGCAUUGUACUAAGUGAAAGAAACCAAUCGUGAAAGGCCACAUAAUGUGUGAUUCCAUUUAUGUGAAAUGUCCAGAAGAGGCAAACCUAUAGAUGCAGAAAGUAGAUUUGCCAAGGCCUGGGGGAGCAGGAAGUGGGGAGUGACUGCCAGUGGAGACAGUUUCUUUUCAGGGGACAGGGUGUUCUAAACUUAGAUUGUAGUGAUGGUUGUACAACUCUGUAAACAUACAGAAGUUUGGAAUUGUACACUUUAAGUGGGGGAACUUUAUAGCAUGUAAGUUAUAGCUCAAUAAAAUUGUUUUUUAAAAUUGGUCAAUGCUCCAUGGCCAUUCUCUCUGCCCUGCAGCCAAUGCCUGGGGGCAA
RNAcentral lists this long non-coding RNA (3673 nucleotides) under Homo sapiens (human). RNAcentral's name for it is "HSALNT0060255". The record is from RNAcentral. Lineage: Eukaryota; Metazoa; Chordata; Mammalia; Primates; Hominidae.